RNAcentral lists this small nuclear RNA (115 nucleotides) under Loxodonta africana (African savanna elephant). RNAcentral's name for it is "U5 spliceosomal RNA (ENSLAFG00000033220.1)". Lineage: Eukaryota; Metazoa; Chordata; Mammalia; Proboscidea; Elephantidae. The record is from RNAcentral.
AUACUCUGCUUUCUCUCCAGAACGAAUUAGUCUUUGGUCUUUUACUAAAGACAUCUGGAGAUGGCAACGAUUGUGAGUAAAACCAGAUGACUGGGAGCUCCUAAAAAUCAAGCAC